This 1413-nucleotide long non-coding RNA is filed under the name Homo sapiens (human). Its description in RNAcentral is "HSALNT0355261". Lineage: Eukaryota; Metazoa; Chordata; Mammalia; Primates; Hominidae. The record is from RNAcentral.
AGAGAGGCUGAAGAGACAGAGCCGUCCUGCACAGUCCAGGCACCACCCUGCCCUGCCACUGCCUGGCGGGCAUCUUGAGCUCCAGACCCUUAGCCUCUCCGGGCCCCCCAGUUUUUUCCGGGUAAGAGACUCGAACUGAUGCUCUCUAAGGAUUCUUCAAGCUCUGAAAUUCUCUGCUGACAUUUGCCAGCAGCAAGGUUGACUCGAAUCUGAAACCUCUGGGGAAAGUGGGGGCCUCUCCCAGAAUGGAACCCUCUCUGAACACUUUCCCGGGAGGGACCUUAGACUGUGCUGCCUGUUGCCAGCGUCGCAGGCAGGAGGAGCGCAGUCACUAUGGGUGGGGUGAGUGCAUGGGGGAGGGAGUGAAAGAGCAAAUGUCCAAGGAAGGGCAUAAGAGAAGGGCUCCAGCAAGAAUGCAAAGGAAGAUUUGUCUAAAAUGGCUUUUCAAGGCGGUCAUGAGCUUGCCUCUAACCCAGCAAAGCGUGUGGAAGAAACAUCGGCAGUGAGGGCUCCCAUCUCUCAUUUCUCAAAGAGCCGAGACUUUCAGCGAGGCCACUUGCCAUUCCUGGAAGAAGAGCUUCAAGCUUUUAGACAUCUGCCACCUGAAUCUGGCAGAGGCUCAAGCUUUUAAAGCACAGUGCCGGGUUCAGCAGUUCAGCACUUUAGUUAUGCCUGUAAGGAAGAUGGAAAAUUGAAGUACACUCUGAUGUCUCCCGAAGUCCCCUAUGGGUAAAGAAAAACAAAUAUGAUUUCUCCAAGUCAUCUUGGUGUCUCUGUCCUCUUGCCUUUCUCUGGGAAAUAAAUUUAAGUGAACGGUCGAGCAUCGCGCCUGCCAAAAAUGGGGGCGUCUCCAUCAGAGCUCGAUUCAAAUGCCAACUACCCCGGGCUCUGUUCUGUUAAAGGUCACCUGUCAUUGUCCACCCGAGGCAUGGAGAUUGCUUUGGAGCUCUGAUUUCCAUGGCGGGGAAGGCAUGUUUAUCUUCUCCAAUGUCUUAUUCACCGCUGGCUUAGGCCGAACUGUUACCGGUUGAGUACAACCCACUGGGCCCCUAAUAAGAGCUUGGAAUCCACAGGAGGGAAAGAAAUUGAGAUGCGCUUUGCCAAUGAAGAGUUGUAAACCUUAAAGGUAGGCAAAGAGAAGUCUUUUCAGGAGGGGAAAUUUCCUGCCUGUGAAGGUUCUCAGACACUACAGCAGGAAAUGGAGAACAGUCAUCCCUUUGUCUCCAAAGGACAUGUUUACCCAGAAUGCUGUGCUGAGAGCAGGGGAUGGCAAAGGGACCCUGGAAACCUCUCCCUGACCUCCAAGAGUCAGCAGGAAAGUUGAACCAGCAAUGCAGGCUGGACUGGGGGGCUCUUAGAAAGCUCUUAGGAAAAAAUGUUAAGUGGUAAAUAAACUGAGUUUCAGUAUACUGC